UACGUAGGGGGCGAGCGUUGUCCGGAAUUACUGGGCGUAAAGGGCGUGUAGGCGGUUAAAUAAGUCAGAUGUGAAAACUGCGGGCUCAACCCGGAGCGUGCAUCUGAAACUGUGUAACUUGAGGGUAAGAGAGGAAAGUGGAAUUCCUAGUGUAGCGGUGAAAUGCGUAGAUAUUAGGAGGAACACCAGUGGCGAAGGCGACUUUCUGGCUUAACCCUGACGCUGAGGCGCGAAAGCGUGGGGAGCAAACAGGAUUAGAUACCCUGGUAGUCCACGCCGUAAACGAUGGGUACUAGGUGUAGGAGGUAUCGACCCCUUCUGUGCCGUAGCAAACGCACUAAGUACCCCGCCUGGGGAGUACGGCCGCAAGGCUGAA
RNAcentral lists this ribosomal RNA (376 nucleotides) under uncultured bacterium. RNAcentral's name for it is "bacterial SSU rRNA". It matches the Rfam family "Bacterial small subunit ribosomal RNA", at positions 524 to 898 of the family's 1533-position model. The record is from RNAcentral.